Molecule: long non-coding RNA, 3902 nt
Filed under: Zea mays
Lineage: Eukaryota; Viridiplantae; Streptophyta; Magnoliopsida; Poales; Poaceae
Description: long non-coding RNA (ZMAY_LNC004967)
Source: RNAcentral
UAAAUAUAGUCUAUUAAUAAAUAUAGAAUUAAAUGCCUUUGUACAACAUCAGAUUGAUAGAACAAACGACAAAUUCGUACAGUGAGAAGUGAGACGUCUGUUACUACUUGGGUUACGAGCCAGAGACAUUUCUUCACGGAGAGACGACUCUAUUUUUUUUGCAAAUACCUCCUUUAAACACCUUAGGAUCCUCUACGUUAAACAUCACUUUUACAUGCCCUAAAGAAUCAGACUAUAGCAGGCUCUCGACUUUUCUAUAGCAGGCUCCACACUCGUUCUUGUUGCUUCAGUAUAUAGACUACUAGUGUAUGAAGCGCGCGCCAUGCGCGCAUGUUAAACCAUGGUGCAAAAUCUUGUUAUAUAAGCAUGUAAAACUUGUCAACGUGUCAUGAACAUUUUCACAUCCAGAAUAGUUGUUACUAAGGAUAAUGAAUACAUAAGUAUCAGACCAAAGCAGCAUUAAAGUAGCGUGUACCAAGAGCUGGUAACAGUGUGUUUCUAGGCGCUACAUUUACACAUAAACGUCUUCUGUCCAGAAGUGAUACUGCUCUUGAUGUGUGGGCAAAAACCAAAUAUGUACCUGUAUACAUGGGAGGAAAAUAUCAGUUGUGGUAAAAGUGUUUGUCGAACAUUUUUGUUGUUGUGUACUUGGUUCAAGGAAGAGUGAAAGAUAAUAUGUUGAUUAUGUAUAAGAAAAUAUGUCAUGUAUGACAUAGGAGUGUACACGAUGUUAUACCUUUAUAAAUCAGAAGCAAUUUAGUAAAACCCAAACAUUAGAAACAGGUAACAAAACUCGAGAAGGUAUGAAAUUGAAACUAGAUUGGAGAAAACCGAAUUGGAUUACUUCUCUUUCUACAAGAAGUAGUCGUGAUAGCUGCUAUCAUCAUUGUGCCCAAAAAGGUACUGCAAUAAUAUAUGACCACAAAAGCUAUUUUGUUGGACAAAUGAAUGCAACAAAACUUCAAUCCUAGACUGGAGCGGAAUAACCAGGGAUUAGAUGGAAGAGUUGGGACUAGAGAGGAACAAGAUUUUUAGAAAAUAUUGAUAAACACCCUAAACCCUAAAAUUGGGGCAGUAAAAAAGGAUAAGCUUCAAGAACAGAGAACGGAGACAAUGGAUGAACCAGCGAAGAAAUAUAGUGGCCUUUUGGAACCUCGAUGCGUCUAUAAAUAAAAGAAAGCGAAAUCUGAACAUCGUACAGUAUGAACCAUUCCACCCAAAAGAAAUGAGUUGUCCACCAAAACAAACGAUCUACGAACGAAGAAUGGAAACAUAGCUUAGGAAAUGAAAGCGCCAAGGACCAAGUUGACAGUAGAGCCGUAAAAAAAGAAAAUACAACCUGCACUUGAUGCGAAGAACUUUACCAAAAGAAAAUAGUAGCUUUCUCGGUCUCAAUGUCCAAAUUGAAUUUCAAUGAAGUAGAAACAUUUCCUUAUAGGCCUACAUGUACCAAAGCAAGAGGAUCUCGGCUAGAGGAUGUCGGAUAAGAUCCAAGCACGAAUCUAGAACCAGAUGUCCAUAUGCACUGUGUGCGAACCACUUUACCAAAAGGAUAUGAUUCAAGAGGAUUUUCGGUCUCAAUGUCUAAAAAGUAUAGUUGGAUGAGGUAGAAGCAUUUCCUUAUUUAUCUACAUGUACCAAAGCAACAAGAUCUCCAAAAAACAAGAUGCACUCGGCUAGAGGACCAGCACAGUGCACACAUAAAACAUAAUUGAAUUCUGUGUUUCAGUUAUAUAUAAUUUAGAUGUAACUAUAGAAUAAGAACUCUUUUGAGGUGAUUCAAGAGGGUUGGUAAUAUCUUUGUUGAUGAUAGGAUAAACAUCAUCCAUUUGCUGCAUAAAAAAAUUGGUCCUAGUAUUUAGUGAAAAAAUUUGGAAAAAUAAUUUAGAUGGUAGCAUGCAAGUACCAAUUAAUAUGGAGGCUAACCAGCUGGAUCUGUGUUAGUUUCAGUUACAUGGAAAGCUAACCUGCGAACAUAAAUAGAAAAUAUGCAUUAAGCAUGAGGUGAUAUGCUGAAAACAGUGAUAUAUACAUUAUAUGUUAAAAUGCAUGCAAAGUGAAACUAAAGUAUUCUAGUAUGUUUUCUUCACUUGUAUGAUAGGUUAAUGCUCUAGAAACAUGUUUUAUAGAGUGUAUCAUAUUUCUUUGCAUAUAACAUGUCGUAUUAGUAAAAAAGGUCACCUAUCUAAAGUAUUUAUAAAUGGAUAUAUAGUCAUAUUUGAACCCAUAACAGAUUUGCUUUAGCAUUCUCAUAUAAAAAAAGUUUCUGUUCUAAGCAUCUCUGGACCAUUGGUAGCAGCUUACAUAUAGAAACAAUUAGAAACAUCAAUUCUCCUUUCGUUAUUAUCAGCUUGCUACAAAAAUUCAGUAUAACUGUUUAGAGAUUGUAUUCUUGAUGAAAGAAGAGGCACCCAACAUUAAAACACAUAACGGAUGAUGGCUUGUUGCAGAACGUUUUUAAAGCAAAAAUAAGUUACUUUGUACCUUUUAUAAGCAUGCAUUGUGCCCAUCUUAAAAGGAAUACAAUCGUAAAUCAACUAAUCUCAAAUGCAUAGAGUAUAGGAAGAAUGAGUGUGCACCUUGCACUUUGGGAAGCUGUGAAGCACUCACCAAGCUAAACAUCAUUUUCUAUAGGCCAAAGAAAGAGAAAAAAUGUGAGAGUUAGUAAGCGAUGAAUGAAAAUCAAGUGAAGGUAAUAAAAACGGUUUUAUAAAGAAUAUAAUGUCGACUGUCUAAGAAGAUCUUAAGACAAAACCACAUUUUUACAUUUUUUAGGAAAAAGGAAAAAUUGAUGUGAAAAUAUUAACACGAAAAUGCAGUACAAAUGGUCGACUAAGUAAGGUAAGGAAAAAAAUAAAUAUGCGAUUAAAAAGAUUGUAUGGGGAGGGGUUAGGGAGAGGAAAUCUGGUACAUUCUGCAAGCAAAUCAAGAGUAAAUAAGUUGUAAGGAUGCAAGCCGAACCCUAAAAAGAGGGGGAAUAAAACUGCACAGGAAGCACACGUUCGUAUGUUGGAGAAGAACGGUUAAAAUGGAGUAUCAGACAAAAGAAAUCUAGUGAUUCCUAUGAAUGAAGUCAUCAUUUCAGUAGAUCCCAAUGCAAGUAUGCUAGAUCCAUAUACAAGCAGCCCAAAUCGAUAGAAUCUGAAGCAUAUUUUAUCAAUGAGAAGAUAUAGGAAUGGAAAGCACUCACCAAGCUAAACAUCAUUUUCUAUAGGCCAAAGAAAGAGAAAAAAUGUGAGAGUUAGUAAGCGAUGAAUGAAAAUCAAGUGAAGGUAAUAAAAACGGUUUUAUAAAGAAUAUAAUGUCGACUGUCUAAGAAGAUCUUAAGACAAAACCAUAUUUUUACAUUUUUUAGGAAAAAGGAAAAAUUGAUGUGAAAAUAUUAACAUGAAAAUGCAGUACAAAUGGUCGACUAAGUAAGGUAAGGAAAAAAAUAAAUAUGCGAUUAAAAAGAUUGUAUGGGGAGGGGUUAGGGAGAGGAAAUCUGGUACAUUCUGCAAGCAAAUCAAGAGUAAAUAAGUUGUAAGGAUGCAAGCCGAACCCUAAAAAGAGGGGGAAUAAAACUGCACAGGAAGCACACGUUCGUAUGUUGGAGAAGAACGGUUAAAAUGGAGUAUCAGACAAAAGAAAUCUAGUGAUUCCUAUGAAUGAAGUCAUCAUUUCAGUAGAUCCCAAUGCAAGUAUGCUAGAUCCAUAUACAAGCAGCCCAAAUCGAUAGAAUCUGAAGCAUAUUUUAUCAAUGAGAAGAUAUAGGAAUGGAAAGCGCAGGGAACAGGAGACAACGUUGAGUUGUAAUACAAACGUAGGUGAGCAAGUGCUAUUUUACCGGAGGAAUGGAGAUAUCUUUCCCUGCAGAACACAUGCCCUUGUGACAUUUCCUUCUCUAAUGCGCGCCUUUGCAU